CCACUGAGUUAUGAAGAUGUUAUCACCUAUGUACUCGCAGGCUUAGGCCACGAAUAUGAUAGUUUCGUUGCCUCAAUCUCAGCUCGCACUAACAUAGUCACCAUUGAAGAAAUUUAUUCUCUUUUGCUCACAACUAACG
Small nucleolar RNA from Juglans regia (Persian walnut), 139 nucleotides. RefSeq annotates it as small nucleolar RNA Z247. The record is from RefSeq and is a predicted model, not a curated record. The transcript has a single exon. NCBI's taxonomy places the organism in Eukaryota, Viridiplantae, Streptophyta, Magnoliopsida, Fagales, Juglandaceae.